Molecule: ribosomal RNA, 253 nt
Filed under: uncultured bacterium
Lineage: Bacteria
Description: partial 16S ribosomal RNA
Rfam family: Bacterial small subunit ribosomal RNA
Source: RNAcentral
UACGUAGGCAGCGAGCGUUGUUCGGAGUUACUGGGCGUAAAGCGUGCGUAGGCGGUUUUGUAAGUUUGGUGUGAAAUCUCCCGGCUCAACUGGGAGGGUGCGCCGAAAACUGCAAGGCUGGAGUGUGGGAGAGGUAGGCGGAAUUCCUGGUGUAGCGGUGAAAUGCGUAGAUAUCAGGAGGAACACCGGUGGCGAAGGCGGUUCUCUGGGCAUGACCUGACGCUGAGGAGCGAAAGUGUGGGGAGCGAACAGG